Molecule: unclassified non-coding RNA, 221 nt
Filed under: soil metagenome
Description: partial contains 5.8S ribosomal RNA, internal transcribed spacer 2, and large subunit ribosomal RNA
Source: RNAcentral
AACCUAGCACACCUGCGGUGUGUACCUGCGGAGGGAUCAUUAACGAGUUACCACUCUAUAACCCUUUGUGAACAUACCUACAUGUUGCUUCGGCGGUCGGCCCCCCCGGGCCCCCGGCCCCGCUCACGCGGGGCGUCCGCCGGAGGAUAACCAAACCCUGAUUUAACGACGUUUCUUCUGAGUGGCACAAGCAAAUAAUCAAAACUUUUAGCAAUGGAUCU